GUUCCGUCACCCAUGUAGGAGACCCAGAUUGAGUUUCCUGCUCCUGGCUUCAGCCCUACCAAUUCAAUUGGGGAGUGAAACAGGAAAAGAAGACUAGCAAUUUGAACUCUAAGAGAAGACAAUAUAAAAUGAGAUAAGCCAAUACUUCCUGAUCCCCAAGACUGCGACUUUCAAAUCGAUCCAAAGUUCCUGAAAUUAUUCUUAUGAAGAUCUGAAUGCCAAUGACAGUACAUAUCACCCAUGACACUGAGCUAAGUAAGUCACCUGACAGCAGGAGUCUAAGUCUUUGCUUUUUAAACAUUCCAUUGUUUUCUGCAUUCAAAAUCAGUGUUUCAUCGAACAUGCUAUUAUUUGUAGACAUAUUAUUCUUUCAGAAAAGAUCUAGUAAGCAUGAGAUAUUCUAAAUAUUUAGUGUCAUUACAAUAAAAGGAUACCCAUUCUCACCACUGCUAUUCAAUAUAGUCCUGAAAGUUUUAUCCAGAGCCCUUAGGCAAGAAAAAGAAAUCAAAGGGAUACAAAUUGGGAAGGAGGAAGUCAAACUACCCCUAUUUGCAGAUGACAUGAUCCUAUAUAUAGGGAAUCCAAAAGAUUCUACUAACAGACUAUUGGAAUUCAUAGAAGAUUUGGUAAAGUGGCAGGAUAUAAAAUUAACAUACAAAAGUCUAUAGCUUUUAUAUACACACAACGCCUGGAAUGAGAAAGAAUUUCUAAGAUCAAUCCCAUUCAAAGUAGCUACAAAAAAAUGUAAAAAACUUGGAACAAAUUUAACCAAGGAGGUAAUGAAAAUUACAAAACAUUAAAGAAAUAAAGAGAAGACAAAAAUGGAAAAAUCAUUCUUGUUCAUGGAUUGGAAGAAUAAAUAUCAACAAACUGUCCAUAUUACCAAAAGCAAUUUAUAGAUUCAAUAGGAUCUCAAUCAAAAUACCAGCUAUAUGGAAGCUCAUGACAAGAGCCUCGGGUGAUUACUGACGUCAUAAAUAAGAGUGUCAAUUGUUAAAUCAACAAUGGGAGUCACUGUACACUUUCUCCCCAAGUAGGUGCUCUGUCCUUAAUAUAUGUACUAUGCAAAUUAACAGUAAAACUACUACUCAAACAGUACUCUAUACUUUGUUGAUCUGUGUGGGUUCAAAAAAAAAAAAAUACCAGCUAUAUUCUUCUCAGAUCUAGACAAAAAAUGCUAAAAUUCAUAUGGAAAUAUAAGAGACCGUGAGUAGAUAGAGCAAUGUUAUAUAACAAAAAGAAAGCUGGAGGCAUCAGAUUUUAAGAAAUACUACAGGGCGGUUAUAAUUAAAAUAGCCUGUAACUGGAAAAAAAAUGGUUAUGUAGACCAAUGGAACAGAUGUAGAAACUCCAGAAAUCAACCCAUGCAUCUAUAAUCAACUUGUUUUUGACAAAGGAGCUAAAAAUCAAUCCCUGGGGCAAGGACAGUCUCUUCAACAAAUGCUGCUGGGAAAACUGGAUCUCCAUGAGCAGAAAUAUGAAGCAAGAGUGCUACCUUACACAUUAUAAAAAAUCCACUCAAAAUUGAUUAAAGACCUAAAUCUCUGAUCCAAUACAAUCUAAUUACUAGAGAAUAUUGGAGAAGCUCUGCAAGACGUUGGCAUAGGGAAAGAUUUCUUGGAAAAGACCCCAGAAGCAUAGGUGAUCAAAGCUAAAUUUUGCAAAUGGAAUUAUAUCAAGCUAAAAAUCUUAUGCACUGCCAAAGAAACACUCAGCAAAGUGAAGAGGCAACCUAGAGAAUGGGAGAAAAUAUUUGCAAACUAUGCAACUGAUAAAGAAUCCAUAAAAAUCGCAAGAAACUCAACAACAAUAAAACAAACAAUCCAGUGAAGCAAUGGGCAAGGACUUGUACAGACAUUUUUCAAGAGAGGAAAUUCAGAUGGCUAAGAGAUACUUGAAAAAAUGCUGAGGAUCCCUAGGCAUCAGGGAAAUACAAAUCUAAACUACAAUGAGAUUUCACCUCAUCCCAGGUGGAAUGGCUCUCAUACAGAAAUCAACAAAUAAUAAAUGCUGGCAAGGAUGUGGUGGAAACAGCACCCUAAUCCACCAUUGGUGGGAAUGUUAAAACUUGUGUAGUCACUUUGGAAGACAAUAUGGAGAAACCUUAGAAAUCUCGAUAUAGACCUACCAUAUGACCUAGCUUCCCACUCCUGAGAAUAAACCAAAAUGAAAUGAAGUGAGCAUUUGUCCAUUGCAGCUCAAUUCAUAAUUGUUAAGAUAUGGAAUCAACCAAGAUGUCCAUCAACUGAAGACUGGUUAAAGAAAUUAUGAUAUAGAUAAUCACUAUGGAGUACUACUCAGCUGCAAAAAAAAAAUGAAAUUCUGUCAUUUGCAACAAAAUGGAUGCAACUGGAAACCAUUAUACUUCGUAAUAUAAGCCAGACCCAAAAAGACAAAUACCAUGUUUUCCCUGAUUUGUGGUAAUUAAUAGAGUACAUGAAAGGUAAUAUAUAGAAGUGAAAUUGACAUUUUGAAAUUUGAUGAUUAUUUACAGCCCUUAUCUUGACUGUUGAGGAAAAACUUUUUUUUCUUCACACUAUUUGUUGAACUCUUUACUUUGAUAGGGUUAAUCAUAUGAGUAUAAAGUUAACUGAAAAAAGAUCCUUGUAAAAAUUAAGAGUGGGAACAGGAGAGGGAGGAGAAAGAAGGGUUGGAGCACGGUGGGAGGGAGGGUAGGAUGGAAAUUAUCACUGUGUUCCUGAAUCUGUAUAUAGGAAACACAUGAAAUUUGUACAUCUUAAAUAUUAUUUAAAAAAUAUUGUUAAGGGGCUGGUGCCGUGGCUCACUUGGUCAAUCCUCCGCCUGUGGCGCCGGCAUCCCAUGUGGACACCAGAUUCUAGUCCCGGUUGCUCCUCAUCUAGUCCAGCUCUCUGCUGUGUCCCAGGAGGGCAGUGGGGGAUGGCCCAGGUGCUUGGGCCCCUGCACCCGCAUGGCAGACCAGGAAGAAGCAGCUGGCUCCUGGCUUCUGAUAGGAACAGUGCCGGCCAUGUCGGCCAUUUGGGGGUGAACCAAUGGAAGGAAGACCUUUCUAUCUGUCUCUCUCAAUAUAACUCUACCUGUCAAAAUAAAUAAAUAAAAAUAUUGUUAAAAUAAUAACAUAUCCAUGUUUUAAUAUUCUGAAUAAAAGAAAACCAAUGGUACUCUUCACUUGAGAAAACUUAUUAUAUUAUAUACUUAGUAAUGAUUCAAGGCUUAAGGAACAAUCUCAUUUCUUUUAGAUUUUAAAUCAGGACCGUCAGGAUACAAAAUUUAUUUCUAUGGCAACUUCAAGCUAAUACUUUAAUCUUUCUAGUUCAUACUCAUUAUGCUCUUUUCAAUAGUAUUAAAAUAGAUCGUAUACCUCUAUUGAUUGAAUUGACUAAAUUUAUGAGGAAAAACUUCAGUAUUUUAAAGCUAUAGUUUAUAAUCUGAAAUUGGCAGAAUAUUAUUAUAUAGGAAUAUGUCAAUGGAUGCUCAAAAUUAACAAAAACAUUUUAAAUAGAGAAUUCUAAUAUUCAGCAUUUGAAAUUGUGAGUUUAAAACUUCUCUGAACUUCUAAGAGCCAAAUGAUUUGCUCUAUUUUGGGGAAUCCCACAGGAGUCCCCAAAGAGUUACAGAGCACCAUUAACCCAAACAGAAAAAGAAAAAACAAAACCAGAAUGGAGUUACUUAAGCUAAGUAAAGCCAAAAUAGAGUGACUUGAGCUAAGACCACUAAACACCAGGAGCUGCCUAGACCAUCUAUCAAGACAGACACAGGUGGUGAGGCCUGAUAAGGACUGGGGGACACUACAUCAUAAAAAGAAGCCAACCAGCUGGCUACUACAAACUUCACUCCUGCUACUAUACCAUCAUUGAUCACACCUAGACACCAACAUCUGGGUGGUGACACCCCAGAAGAUGAGCUUGUGAUCGGUGACACCCCAGGGCACCUUUACUGCCCACCUACCCCAGAGGGAGGAUAAAAUGACAAGUGUCACAACUGCUCUUCAUCUUCUCAGGGAUCAUGGCUCAGUACAAGUAAAACUGCCCGAGUCUUCCUGACUGAAGCUCUGCUCACCACUCUGCUGGAGCCUAUCUCACCUGGACCUCUGAUCAGCCUGCUGCCAGACCUGACAGUGGAGCUGGACCAGACCUCUCAUCAGGGGACCUCUCCAGCUCCUCGGCCUUGCCGUCCGUCUGGGAAUUUCGAGCCUACUGCCCAGAGUGCCAGUCAUCCCACGACUCCUUCCCGUAAGUGACUGUUCUGAGAUCCGUCUCUCCGAGUGGUAACGGAGACUUUGGACUCUAAAGUUUGGACUUUGACUUCUUUGUGACUGUGAAACGAGCCUUGAAAACACAGCAUUCAUAUUACACACUUAGCCAUGAGUGUUUAGACUGGUUAUGCUUUUAUGCUUUUUAUGCUUUAUACUUAUUAAGAUUGCUAGGUACUUCUGAAAAUUGCCUUAUUCCUAGAUGUGUGUUAUGACCUAUAGACUAAUGAAAUAUUGAGUGAUACUGACCUUUAGAUGUGUACCUUAUAUAUAUAUAUAUAUAUGGAUAUUGAUCACUGAAUAAUAAAUUAUAUUAAAAAGACUAUCACAAUUCUGUGUGAUUCUUCCCCGUGCUCCAACACGUCACAUUAGCCUUGUCGAGCUGUGUGACAAGUAGCACUCACUGGUAGCUUUGGGAUCCGCAAGGAGGGAAGGCCUACACUUCCGGGAAUGGAGAGGCCUACUUCCGGGGAAGAAAGUCCUUGUCAAGGUCCCUGUGGGUGCCUAAAGGUCAACCAAUGAGGAUCAGACCUGCCUCAACCUUUAACUCCCAUGCCCUGAAUCUAUAAAAGGAGCUCUCCCAAUCUCUGACGCGCGACUUCUCCGGCCCCAGCUCUGUUGCUCUGUUGGGACCGGGGAACCUCGCCCGGGAGCUGAACCCCAAUAAAAGCCUGUGAAUUAAUUGAUUCAUCUGCCUGGGAAGAUUUGUUACG
Molecule: non-coding RNA, 4944 nt
Organism: Oryctolagus cuniculus (rabbit)
Lineage: Eukaryota; Metazoa; Chordata; Mammalia; Lagomorpha; Leporidae
Source: RefSeq, a predicted model, not a curated record